UGCUGUUGGUGAUGAUUUUUAAAAUUAACAGAUGGGAAUCUCUCUGAAAAAGAAUGAAGAUUUAUAAAAACUGAAACAGUA
Small nucleolar RNA from Talpa occidentalis (Iberian mole), 81 nucleotides. RefSeq annotates it as small nucleolar RNA SNORD79. The transcript has a single exon. The record is from RefSeq and is a predicted model, not a curated record. Lineage: Eukaryota; Metazoa; Chordata; Mammalia; Eulipotyphla; Talpidae.